ACUCUGAAUAGCAGGAACAAGUACGUGUCAAAAGGCACUUCUUCCUGGAAGCUAUUUGCACAGAAGCCUGAGCCCCAAGAACUGCGUUGUGCUGCUCAGAGUACUUUAUUUUGAGGCCUCGCUGGUCACCAGCUCUGUCAUUAACCUUGAGAGAACAUAUACAUGCAGGUGAUCUCGGACUUCAUGCAGCAAACCAAGGAAGCCUGCCCCAAAGCCAUCCUCGGGCUGAGGGUCGACGAUUCUCCCCAAAGAGGGUGGGUGACUCGAACUGGGCCUGGGUGAAGGAGGAGAGUGCUCAGACACAGCAGGU
RNAcentral lists this long non-coding RNA (310 nucleotides) under Dromaius novaehollandiae (emu). RNAcentral's name for it is "lncRNA (ENSDNVG00000015661.1)". The record is from RNAcentral. Lineage: Eukaryota; Metazoa; Chordata; Aves; Casuariiformes; Dromaiidae.